RNAcentral lists this ribosomal RNA (402 nucleotides) under uncultured bacterium. RNAcentral describes it as "bacterial SSU rRNA". It matches the Rfam family "Bacterial small subunit ribosomal RNA", at positions 128 to 518 of the family's 1533-position model. The record is from RNAcentral.
GCCCUCAAGACGAGGAUAACCGUUGGAAACGAAUGGCUAAGACUGGAUAGGAAUACGGGAGGCAUCUUCUGUAUUUUAAAAGACCUGGCAACAGGUAUGCUUGAGGAGGGGCCUGCGGCGCAUUAGUUAGUUGGUGAGGUGAUGGCUCACCAAGACGAUGAUGCGUAGCCGGACUGAGAGGUUGAACGGCCACAUUGGGACUGAGAGACGGCCCAAACUCCUACGGGAGGCAGCAGUAGGGAAUUUUCGGCAAUGGGGGAAACCCUGACCGAGCCAACGCCGCGUGAACGACGAAGUACUUCGGUAUGUAAAGUUCUUUUAAGAGGGAAGAAUGGCCCGUGGAAAAGCGGGCGUGACGGUACCUUUUGAAUAAGCCCCGGCUAACUAUGUGCCAGCAGCCGC